UACGUAGGGGGCAAGCGUUGUUCGGAAUUACUGGGCGUAAAGGGCUCGUAGGCGGCCAACUAAGUCGGACGUGAAAUCCCUCGGCUUAACCGGGGAACUGCGUCUGAUACUGGAUGGCUUGAAUCCGGGAGAGGGAUGCGGAAUUCCAGGUGUAGCGGUGAAAUGCGUAGAUAUCUGGAGGAACACCGGUGGCGAAGGCGGCAUCCUGGACCGGCAUUGACGCUGAGGCGCGAAAGCCAGGGGAGCAAACGGG
This 253-nucleotide ribosomal RNA is filed under the name uncultured bacterium. RNAcentral describes it as "partial 16S ribosomal RNA". It matches the Rfam family "Bacterial small subunit ribosomal RNA", at positions 524 to 776 of the family's 1533-position model. The record is from RNAcentral.